GUAGGUGUAGCUCAAUCUGGAUAGAGCACUAGAUUGUGGUUCUAGGUGUCGCGGGUUCGAAUCCCGUCACCUACCCCA
This 78-nucleotide transfer RNA is filed under the name Candidatus Omnitrophota bacterium. RNAcentral describes it as "Candidatus Omnitrophica bacterium tRNA-His". It matches the Rfam family "tRNA". From Rfam's summary of the family: Transfer RNA (tRNA) molecules are approximately 80 nucleotides in length. Their secondary structure includes four short double-helical elements and three loops (D, anti-codon, and T loops). Further hydrogen bonds mediate the characteristic L-shaped molecular structure. tRNAs have two regions of fundamental functional importance: the anti-codon, which is responsible for specific mRNA codon recognition, and the 3' end, to which the tRNAs corresponding amino acid is attached (by aminoacyl-tRNA synthetases). tRNAs cope with the degeneracy of the genetic code in two manners: having more than one tRNA (with a specific anti-codon) for a particular amino acid; and 'wobble' base-pairing, i.e. permitting non-standard base-pairing at the 3rd anti-codon position. Lineage: Bacteria; Pseudomonadati; Candidatus Omnitrophota. The record is from RNAcentral.